This is a small nuclear RNA of Myotis lucifugus (little brown bat), 164 nucleotides long. Its record names the gene U1. It matches the Rfam family "U1 spliceosomal RNA". From Rfam's summary of the family: U1 is a small nuclear RNA (snRNA) component of the spliceosome (involved in pre-mRNA splicing). Its 5' end forms complementary base pairs with the 5' splice junction, thus defining the 5' donor site of an intron. Lineage: Eukaryota; Metazoa; Chordata; Mammalia; Chiroptera; Vespertilionidae. The record is from Ensembl.
ACACUUACCUUGCAGAGGAGAUACCAUGAUCACGAAGGUGGCUUUCCCAGGGCAAGGCUUAUCCAUUGCACUCUGGAUGUGCCAAACCCUGCGAUUUCCCCAAAUGUGGGAAACUCGACUGCAUGAUUUGUGGUAGUGGGGGAUGCCUUCGCGCUCUAGCCUUA